GAUGAACGCUGGCGGCGUGCCUAAUACAUGCAAGUCGAGCGAACGGACGAGAAGCUUGCUUUUCUGAUGUUAGCGGCGGACGGGUGAGUAACACGUGGAUAACCUACCUAUAAGACUGGGAUAACUUCGGGAAACCGGAGCUAAUACCGGAUAAUAUUUUGAACCGCAUGGUUCAAAAGUGAAAGACGGUCUUGCUGUCACUUAUAGAUGGAUCCGCGCUGCAUUAGCUAGUUGGUAAGGUAACGGCUUACCAAGGCAACGAUGCAUAGCCGACCUGAGAGGGUGAUCGGCCACACUGGAACUGAGACACGGUCCAGACUCCUACGGGAGGCAGCAGUAGGGAAUCUUCCGCAAUGGGCGAAAGCCUGACGGAGCAACGCCGCGUGAGUGAUGAAGGUCUUCGGAUCGUAAAACUCUGUUAUUAGGGAAGAACAUAUGUGUAAGUAACUGUGCACAUCUUGACGGUACCUAAUCAGAAAGCCACGGCUAACUACGUGCCAGCAGCCGCGGUAAUACGUAGGUGGCAAGCGUUAUCCGGAAUUAUUGGGCGUAAAGCGCGCGUAGGCGGUUUUUUAAGUCUGAUGUGAAAGCCCACGGCUCAACCGUGGAGGGUCAUUGGAAACUGGAAAACUUGAGUGCAGAAGAGGAAAGUGGAAUUCCAUGUGUAGCGGUGAAAUGCGCAGAGAUAUGGAGGAACACCAGUGGCGAAGGCGACUUUCUGGUCUGUAACUGACGCUGAUGUGCGAAAGCGUGGGGAUCAAACAGGAUUAGAUACCCUGGUAGUCCACGCCGUAAACGAUGAGUGCUAGGUGUUAGGGGGUUUCCGCCCCUUAGUGCUGCAGCUAACGCAUUAAGCACUCCGCCUGGGGAGUACGACCGCAAGGUUGAAACUCAAAGGAAUUGACGGGGACCCGCACAAGCGGUGGAGCAUGUGGUUUAAUUCGAAGCAACGCGAAGAACCUUACCAAAUCUUGACAUCCUUUGACAACUCUAGAGAUAGAGCCUUCCCCUUCGGGGGACAAAGUGACAGGUGGUGCAUGGUUGUCGUCAGCUCGUGUCGUGAGAUGUUGGGUUAAGUCCCGCAACGAGCGCAACCCUUAAGCUUAGUUGCCAUCAUUAAGUUGGGCACUCUAAGUUGACUGCCGGUGACAAACCGGAGGAAGGUGGGGAUGACGUCAAAUCAUCAUGCCCCUUAUGAUUUGGGCUACACACGUGCUACAAUGGACAAUACAAAGGGCAGCGAAACCGCGAGGUCAAGCAAAUCCCAUAAAGUUGUUCUCAGUUCGGAUUGUAGUCUGCAACUCGACUACAUGAAGCUGGAAUCGCUAGUAAUCGUAGAUCAGCAUGCUACGGUGAAUACGUUCCCGGGUCU
RNAcentral lists this ribosomal RNA (1372 nucleotides) under uncultured bacterium. Its description in RNAcentral is "bacterial SSU rRNA". It matches the Rfam family "Bacterial small subunit ribosomal RNA", at positions 28 to 1381 of the family's 1533-position model. The record is from RNAcentral.